Molecule: non-coding RNA, 656 nt
Organism: Momordica charantia (bitter melon)
Lineage: Eukaryota; Viridiplantae; Streptophyta; Magnoliopsida; Cucurbitales; Cucurbitaceae
Source: RefSeq, a predicted model, not a curated record
UGCAUUUCCCAAUAUGACCCCCGGUGGAAAUCGUUUUUCUAAUUCACCUUGCUUUUUCCUUGUCCUUGAAGACAGUAAUUUCCCAUUCCCUAUUGACUUGGGGCUGCGUUGUCCUUAAAUACCGCACAAUUUCCAGCAGAUUAAUUGCAGAGUCAUUGGCUCAGAUAAUUUCCUUUCCCUUAAUUAUUAUUUCAGCUUCUUCUUCUUCCUCCUCCAUCCACUUCCAUGGAUGCGCCGCUCUUAAUAGAAGAGAAGCAAAACGACGACGUCGAACUCCAACAAAGCUCCGCCAAUGGUAGCGCCACCUCCUUCGUCAAAACCUGCUUCAAUGGACUCAACGCUCUCUCAGGAUAAGACACAAAUUACUUUUUGUCAAUUCCAAAACGAAAAUCGACACUCCAUUAAUCGAUAAUGAUGAAUUCUGACACAUUAUAUUUUGUUUCUUAGUAAAUGUUAAAUUCAAGCCUUUCUGUUUUUCGUUUGUUUUUUUUUCUUUUCGUUAUUUUCUUAUCGAAAGAUAUAAAGAAGAAAAGUUAGGAUAAUGAUUAAUGUAUAAGCCGAAAUUCUGACAAAAAGCAGAGGGCUUCUGGGGAAGCCGUCACGUGACAAACAAGGCUCUUGUUUGGCUUCUUCUAAAAUUUUAGUAUUGUUACGUA